This 646-nucleotide ribosomal RNA is filed under the name uncultured bacterium. RNAcentral's name for it is "bacterial SSU rRNA". It matches the Rfam family "Bacterial small subunit ribosomal RNA", at positions 202 to 836 of the family's 1533-position model. The record is from RNAcentral.
AAAAGAUGGUUCUGCUAUCACUCUUGGAUGGACCUGCGGUGCAUUAGCUAGUUGGUAAGGUAACGGCUUACCAAGGCAAUGAUGCAUAGCCGAGUUGAGAGACUGAUCGGCCACAUUGGGACUGGGACACGGCCCAAACUCCUACGGGAGGCAGCAGUAGGGAAUCUUCCACAAUGGACGCAAGUCUGAUGGAGCAACGCCGCGUGAGUGAAGAAGGGUUUCGGCUCGUAAAGCUCUGUUGGUAGUGAAGAAAGAUAGAGGUAGUAACUGGCCUUUAUUUGACGGUAAUUACCUAGAAAGUCACGGCUAACUACGUGCCAGCAGCCGCGGUAAUACGUAGGUGGCAAGCGUUGUCCGGAUUUAUUGGGCGUAAAGCGAGUGCAGGCGGUUCAAUAAGUCUGAUGUGAAAGCCUUCGGCUCAACCGGAGAAUUGCAUCAGAAACUGUUGAACUUGAGUGCAGAAGAGGAGAGUGGAACUCCAUGUGUAGCGGUGGAAUGCGUAGAUAUAUGGAAGAACACCAGUGGCGAAGGCGGCUCUCUGGUCUGCAACUGACGCUGAGGCUCGAAAGCAUGGGUAGCGAACAGGAUUAGAUACCCUGGUAGUCCAUGCCGUAAACGAUGAGUGCUAAGUGUUGGGAGGUUUCCG